UUUUUUUAUUUUUUAUUUUUAUUUUUGCAGCAUAUAAAGUAAACCAUUCUUUCUCAAAGUACAGCCUGCAGACCACUAGCAUGGGUAUUACCUGGGAGUAUGCUAGAAAUGCAGAGUUGUAAGCCCCACCCCAGACCUACUGAACCUGUCUUUAAGAUCUGCAAGUGAUGCACAUCAAAGUUUGAGAAGCAAUGAGAGUCUCCUUACAACUUACACUGCUGUGAACAUCUUCAUGCACAUGUAUUUCCCCUGCUUGGGGAUGGUUUCGUUGUAUUCCAUUCCCAGAAGUGAGAUUAUGAGUUCUGAGAAUUUGCAGAUUUGUAUGCUUGCCAGAAUUUCAGGAGGGUACUUCAAGAGCCAGAGGGGUGGGUGUGGCCAAAGGCUAUAUAACCUGAGGAUUGGUCCAGUUAGUGCCCCCUGUAGAGAGGGAAUUAUAAUUGAUCUAUUGGGGCCCUCUGCCUUUAAACGUCUUGUAAUUUGAAGAGCAAGCCUCAUCUGGAGGCACGGACAGAGAGGAAAAUAACUUUCUGUUCCGUCUCCCUGCCCUGUAGACUCACAGAGCUUCUCGCAGUGCCCAUCAGAUUGCAAAGCUGACAACUCCUAAAUAUUCCAGAUACAGGCCAGAAACCUCCUUAAAUUACAUGUCUAGGGAAUUCAUUCCUGACUUUCUCUGAGUCAUGAAGAAAAAGAAAUGCUUCUUUCGGGGGCCUUUAGAUUCACCUUCCAAGCCACAGUAAUUCUAGCUUUGUUCUGGCAAUUAUAACCCAAAGGAUCACUGUGCUGCUUCCUUGAUGGUUCCCUAAGUCUCCUUUCCUCCCUAGGAGCUGCAGAUAUUUUCUUUCACAGAUAAUCUCCGCCCUGUAGGGGUCUGUGAUUCCAGUGCUUAUGCCGUUCUCCUUGGGUUCCAACAUGUCCAGACUUUUCUCUGCUCCCCGCUGCUUUCACAGCUGACCUGCUCUUCUCCUCCAGCAUCUCCAGUUUUUCAGCUGGCUUCUCAGUUGCUGUUUUUUUUUUCGGUGGGGGACAAUGCCACAUUCUGAAGUUUAUGAUAUGCUUUCUUGAUAGUGAUGUUGUCCAGAUCCUCAGUUUGUUUCUUAGUGUUUCUUAAGCCUGCCUGUCAAAGCUGCUGCAUGUCAGGCCUGCUUAUCUGUGUGGAUGUCUGGAAGAGAGUCUGGCAACUUCAUCCCUUUGGUUUUACCUUCAUUCAGGGAUGAUUGCAAAUGGCAUCUGGUUGUCUUAAAAUUGGUGGAAUAUCAGUAUCCAUCCUGACAGACUUGACCAGAUUACCUACAUGCCUUUACAAUUUUUUCUGAACAGAUAUUCUCCAAUUAAGUUGCCCUCUCCUUUCCAUCAGUGACAGAGUUUAAUGCUAUCUCAUGUAGAAAUGGAAGUGUGCUUUCUCUCCCCUAUUAUUCCAUAUGGGAUUCAACCUGUAAGUCGCCCUUUAUGUUUAGGUAGACAAGUUUUGUAUUUGAGCAUGGUAC
RNAcentral lists this long non-coding RNA (1484 nucleotides) under Macaca fascicularis (crab-eating macaque). Its description in RNAcentral is "lncRNA (ENSMFAG00000051707.1)". Lineage: Eukaryota; Metazoa; Chordata; Mammalia; Primates; Cercopithecidae. The record is from RNAcentral.